Molecule: ribosomal RNA, 372 nt
Filed under: uncultured bacterium
Lineage: Bacteria
Description: bacterial SSU rRNA
Rfam family: Bacterial small subunit ribosomal RNA
Source: RNAcentral
ACACGUACGGUGCAAGCGUUGUUCGGAAUUAUUGGGCGUAAAGGGCAUGUAGGCGUCAGACAAGCUUGGUGUGAAAUCUACGGGCUUAACCCGUAAACUGCAUUGAGAACUAUUUGACUAGAGUCACUGAAGUGCAACCAGAAUUCCAGGUGUAGGGGUGAAAUCUGUAGAUAUCUGGAAGAAUACCAAUGGCGAAGGCAGGUUACAGGCAGAUGACUGACGCUGAGGUGCGAAGGUGUGGGGAGCAAACAGGAUUAGAUACCCUGGUAGUCCGCACAGUCAACGAUGUACACUAGGUGUCUGUACAAGAGUAUGGGUGCCAAAGUAAACGCGAUAAGUGUACCGCCUGGGGAGUAUGCCCGCAAGGGUGAA